UAACUCCAUAUCUCAAAAAAGUCAAGAACUGAAAAGGAUUUUCCAAUUUCACUUUUCCCCUCUAAACGAUUAAUGUUAGUAUUUUCGAUUGCUUUCAGCUUCAUAUCCCCAAAAAAACUCAAGAACCGAAAAGGGUUUUUUCAAUUUCAUUGAUUUUCUCUUUCUUUCCAAUUCAUUUUCCUUUAAUUCCCUCUACUUUCAUAUCGCAAAUUAAAACAUUUAAUUUUGAAUUUCCUCAAAAGAAAAAAAACCAAAUAAAGCGCAGGUACUUUUCAUAACUGUUAGGGUAACAAAUCCAUUCCAUAAAUUUGAAAUCCCAAUUUUUAUUGUCACCACUCAAUGAUGAUCCCCCUACCUAAUUUCUCUUCUGGAGGAUCAAUAGCGGUGGUGAUGAGGUGAAAAUAGCGGUGAAAAAUGAGGAGGAGGAAGUGAAGAAAAUAUCGGAAAAUAGUUUUGUUGGAAAGUCAGAGAAAAUCACGCCGUUAGAUGUUAAAGAUUACGAGGAGCUAGGAUUGAUAAUAGAUCUAGAGGAAUUAGUGGAAAGUAAUUUUGAAAAUGCUAGGUUGAUUUUAAUGCUCCAGAAGUGAAACUAUCAUCACUCAGUGAUGAUUCUCCCCUACCUAAUUUUACUUUUGGAGCAUUAAAAAAUCAAUACUAGCAUUUUCAAAACUAUUUUUCCCUAAUUCCUCCAAAUCUAUUAUCAACCCCAAGUCCUCGUAAUCCUUAACAUCUAACGGCGUGAUUUCCUCCGACUUUCCAACUGAACUAUUUUCUGAUAUUUUCUUCACCUCAUCACCACCACUAUUGAUCGUCCAGAAGUGAAUUUAGGUAGGGGAAACCAUCAUUGAGUAGUGAAAAUAACGAUUGGGAUUUUGAGCUGAUGGAAUGGAUUUGGUCCCUAACAGUUAUGAAGAGUUUAUGUGCUUUUAUCAAGGAUAAAAUUCCUCCUUUGGAAUUGAACUAUGACGCUGCUAGGAGAAGUACUCUCUGUUUAUGUCUCUGUGUAGGUAUGUGUGGCACGUUGCUUGGCCUUCGAGGCAUUUUAUCACAAAUGAGGGGUUGAUUUGCCAAGAUGAGCAUCGUAUUGAAAGCAAUCUGCUUACAGGGGUGAAAUGUGGCCUUAAGACAUGACUUGAAAGUAAAUUUAUUGAUGAGGAGGCUUGUAGCCUAUGAAAAUUGUGGUGGAAAGGCAUUCAUAUAUAUAUAUACUUUGUUAUCGUGAUUAUGCAUACAUAUUCAUUUUCUUGGAUCAUAGAAAUGGUACAAUGAAAAUGACGUUUGGAAGGCAAAUAUUGAUUUUAGUUCCGAUUCGAGACCGGAUAAACUAUUGAUGGAAGUCCAGUUGAGUGGGGCAGAUUAUAUUGAUGAAAGUAUCGGUUCGAGCCUGAGCAUGGAAUGUGGACCUAGCGAUUUCCCCAUGGGUCCCACCUCACAACGUAUUAUGUGGAGGGAGUGUAUACCGGGAAAUUUUCUGAGUGCAAGAGUUUAUAACAUUCUUUGUACGGUAUAGUUAUUAACUCUGGCUCGGUCAGCCAAUGAUGCCUACGGAGGACGUGCGAUUUUGUACUCUUACUACUCUUGCUGCCUCUUUUUUAGGCAGAUUCCAGUGCUAGUGGAUUGGCUUUUGUACUGCAUCUUUCCAGUGAAGGACGCAGAGCACAAGAUUAUGUAUGUGGACUGGCUCCGUGGAUUAGAAAAUUGUAGGAAAGAGAUUAAGAUAUGAAUGCACUUGUGUUGGAGGGCAAUGCCAUAUAACUUUCUGAUCAUUAAAUUUGCUAUAGAUUUAUUUUAAGAAACGUUGAGGGUAUGGUAUGAAGCUACUUCACAAGAGUUGGUUUUUUCUUCUUUGUGCAAUUGUGUUUAGGCCAUAGGGAAAAACAUAUUUAUUAGCAAUAGAGAUGAACCUUUUGGUA
Long non-coding RNA from Solanum dulcamara, 1913 nucleotides. RefSeq lists it as uncharacterized. The record is from RefSeq and is a predicted model, not a curated record. Lineage: Eukaryota; Viridiplantae; Streptophyta; Magnoliopsida; Solanales; Solanaceae. The transcript has 4 exons.